Molecule: ribosomal RNA, 513 nt
Filed under: uncultured bacterium
Lineage: Bacteria
Description: bacterial SSU rRNA
Rfam family: Bacterial small subunit ribosomal RNA
Source: RNAcentral
CGCUGGCGGCGUGCCUAAUACAUGCAAGUCGAACGGUCUUUCUAUGGAAGCUUGCUUCCACUGAGAAGAUAGUGGCGAACGGGUGAGUAACACGUGGGUAACCUGCCCAUAAGAGGGGGAUAACAUCCGGAAACGGGUGCUAAUACCGCAUAGUUUUCUUGAUCGCAUGAUCGGGAAAGGAAAGACGGCCUUUGUGCUGUCGCUUAUGGAUGGACCCGCGGCGUAUUAGUUAGUUGGUGAGGUAACGGCUCAAACCAGACGAUGAUACGUAGCCGACCUGAGAGGGUGAUCGGCCACAUUGGGACUGAGACACGGCCCAAACUCCUACGGGAGGCAGCAGUAGGGAAUCUUCCGCAAUGGACGAAAGUCUGACGGAGCAACGCCGCGUGAGUGAAGAAAAGGUUUUCGGAUCGUAAAACUCUGUUGUCAGAGAAGAACAAGUUGGAGAGUAACUGCUCCAGCCUUGACGGUAUCUGACCAGAAAGCCACGGCUAACUACGUGCCAGCCGCUGC